This 30-nucleotide non-coding RNA is filed under the name Homo sapiens (human). Lineage: Eukaryota; Metazoa; Chordata; Mammalia; Primates; Hominidae. The record is from RNAcentral.
UCAGAACUGCUUCUGUCUGUCCAUACCUCC